Molecule: ribosomal RNA, 251 nt
Filed under: uncultured prokaryote
Description: partial 16S rRNA
Rfam family: Bacterial small subunit ribosomal RNA
Source: RNAcentral
ACGGAGGAUGCAAGCGUUAUCCGGAUUCAUUGGGUUUAAAGGGUGCGCAGGCGGAUUGGUAAGUCAGUGGUGAAAUUCUAGUGCUUAACAUUAGAGCUGCCAUUGAUACUGUCAGUCUAGAGUAUAGUUGGAGUGGGCGGAAUGUGUCAUGUAGCGGUCAAAUUCUUAUAUAUGACACAGAACACCGAUCGCGAAGGCAGCACACUAAUCUAGAUCUGACGCGCAUGCACGAAAGCGUGGGGAUCAAACAG